CCUACGGGAGGCAGCAGUGAGGAAUAUUGGUCAAUGGCCGAGAGGCUGAACCAGCCAAGUCGCGUGAGGGAAGAAUGUCCUAUGGAUUGUAAACCUCUUUUGUCAGGGAGCAAAGUCACCCACGUGUGGGUGUUGGAGAGUACCUGAAGAAAAAGCAUCGGCUAACUCCGUGACAGCAGCCGCGGUAAUACGGUGGAUGCGAGCGUUAUCCGGAUUUAAUGGGUUUUAAGGGUGCGUAGGCGGGUUAUUAAGUCAGCGGUAAAAUCGUGGAGCUCAACUCCAUCCAGCCGUUGAAACUGGUGAUCUGGAGUGGGCGAGAAGUAUGCGGAAUGCGUGGUGUAGCGGUGAAAUGCAUAGAUAUCACGCAGAACUCCGAUUGCGAAGGCAGCAUACCGGCGCCCGACUGACGCUGAGGCACGAAAGCGUGGGUAUCGAACAGGAUUAGAUACCCUAGUAGUC
RNAcentral lists this ribosomal RNA (459 nucleotides) under uncultured bacterium. Its description in RNAcentral is "partial 16S ribosomal RNA". It matches the Rfam family "Bacterial small subunit ribosomal RNA", at positions 338 to 795 of the family's 1533-position model. The record is from RNAcentral.